Zea mays is the source of this 2183-nucleotide long non-coding RNA. RefSeq lists it as uncharacterized. The transcript has 3 exons. The record is from RefSeq and is a predicted model, not a curated record. NCBI's taxonomy places the organism in Eukaryota, Viridiplantae, Streptophyta, Magnoliopsida, Poales, Poaceae.
CAAUCGUGUCGGCCUACCUCCAAUCAACCCGCGACCUCCUCAUCCGCUGCACGCAUGCUUUGAACAACCAUGCCUGCCCGCCUCGCCUGUCAGUGUAUAAGAAGGUUGUCGCCUCCAAACCUCGUGUUUCUUGAGGACCUCCCGCCUGUGUUUGCUGCCAUCAUCCGGAAAGCCUGCAAGAGCUUCGACGACUUCGACAUCUCCUCCAAGGCCAAGCCGGUAGCGUUCCCCACCUUCCUAUUUUACAAAAAAAUAUCUAAUAUUUUGCGGGUUGGAUCAUUAUGUUUAAAAAAUGACAAACAUUGGUGUCUUGGCCAUGAAAUUGGACACAAACAUGGCUACAAUUUGGCAGCCAACAAUAUAGUGCAUAGAUGAAAAUCAAAUUACCGGACUUUGAGCUCGAACUACAAGUAGCAGCUCUUAAACAACAAGAAGUUGAGAUAUUAAGCAAAAGGUGUCCUUUUAUGUACAAAUACUCGGAAUCAAUAUUUUUGACUUCCUUUACAAUAUUCUUCGAAGCCGAGAUAAUUCAAUUCAUGUUGGUGCAACAUGAAGUAGCCGUAGCAUGAAGUAGCAACAACAUCUGCUUAUAUGGCGUAUACUCCCAGUGGUGACUGCAUAAAGCAUGAAGUAGUAGCAUAUGGGUUCUAUGACUUUUUCUUUAUCACAGCAGGAUGAAGUGCACAAUCAUCCAUUUGGAAAUAUGGCUGAAACAACUAUUGCUUCUAUGGUGUAUACUUCGGUGACUGCAUCACAACCUGUAAUGCAUCAAACUAUGGGCUAGGAAAAGAGGACUUCAUUGUCAUGUAUUUGGUAUAAUUUUAUCUGCUAAUUGUUCAGUUUUAGUCUAGUUAUACGACCAUGAGGCCAUCAUUUUGGUCUAACAAUAUGCUUAUUGUGCCAAGCCAUUCGGUUACUUGCAGGGCUCUGCUGUUGUUUACCCUGGGCAUUAAGAUGGUCUAGAUGGCCACUGUGACUUGCCUUAGGGGACAACUCAUGAAUAUUAAUUAUGUCUUGUUGUAAUCCAACAAGAUCUGAUUGGGAUGUCUGAUGGUUUGUUUCAUCUUGUGGUUGUGAGACAUUUUGUACUUCCUAAACAAGGACAGAUUAAUUCCAAACUUAGAAUGAGCACUGCAUAUUACAGUGGUUGUGAGACAUGUUGCCUGAUACUGGUUUGCUCUGUGAUAAUCUUUGGUCUGAUCCUUCCAAUGAAGCAACGGGCUGGCCCAUCAAUGAUCGAGGUGUUUCACUCACAUUUAGACCUUAUCUGCCAAGCACAUCAGGUUCCUAUGUUCUUAUAGAUGUGACAUACUUAUUCUUUUAUAAACUACAAAGUGUAUUAAUAGUUUACUUAUGAUUUUGCAUUACUGAAAUUAAGGUUGGCAAAGAUGGAUAUGAGUUUUUUUCUAGCUGUCAACUCGUAACAAUAUUUUAGCCCCUAACUACUGUUGAAAAUUUGACAAAGCUUCAUGCAUGCUAAGUCUUGGAAUGUUAACCAGUGCUCUACCUAUGACUGCUCUUGGGGCUGUUUUGUGUAGUUUGCUUCUAACACAAGUUUUAAACAGAGACUUAUCAAUGUCGCUAAUCUAUUUUGAUUUAUUUUAUAUGUGCUGCUUCUAAUUCCAAUCUAGUUUGGCCUUCCCUACAAGUGCAACCUAAUGCAUCCUUUAAACUAUUUAUGUUUGGGGCUUUGUUUCAUGAACUUGCCGAAGAGUGAGGCGCACGAGGCCUCAUGACAUGGCGCCAGGUUAGGUACAUCCUCCGUUGUCCCUCCCUAGCACCUCAUUCAUCAAUGGUAUUUUGGUUAGCGAUCAAGAUGUGAGAAUCAAGCAUAGGAGUGCCUUCACUAUAUCGGUGCAUUGGUUAAAGGUAGUGGUGUCAGCCUCCCUGAUCUGUCCUGAAGCGAGAAAAUGAAGGGCAAAAGCAAGAACAAUUUCUAAGGGAGAGUUUAUCAGACGAGCGAGUGAGGCUACAUCAAGAAACUCAGGGCGUGCAUCUGGUGGUACAUGGAGCUGGAUGAUGGAUAUGUGGCUGAGUAGGAGAAGCUAAUAGGACCUGGAGGAUGGGUCUCUGCGUUCUUUGCUUAUUGGUAUGAUUGUUUAGAUAUCCGCAGAUUACACACACUAUUUCUUCAGCGCGUCUCCUCUUCCUACUAAAAAGUAUCCAUAUCUCUGUUAUUGCAA